UCAAGUUAUUAAGGGUGCAGGGCGAAUGCCUUGGCACUAGGAGCCGAUGAAGGACGUGAUAAGCUGCGAUAAGCUUGGGGGAGUUGCACGUAAACUGUGAUCCCAAGAUUUCCGAAUGAGGAAACUCACUUAGAGUAAUGUCUAAGUAUCGUAUAGUGAAUACAUAGCUAUGCGAGGGGAACCCGGGGAACUGAAACAUCUAAGUACCCGGAGGAAGAGAAAGAAAUUCGAUUCCGUAAGUAGCGGCGAGCGAACGCGGAUCAGGCCAAACCGAUAAAGUUUACUUUGUCGGGGUUGAGGACAUAUCAUAAACAGAAUCACUUAUUCAAGAUGAAGAGAGUUGGAAAGCUCCGCUGUAAAGUGUAAUAGCCACGUAGUCGAAAGAACAAGACUCUAGAUAUGAUCCAGAGUACCACGGGACACGUGAAACCCUGUGGGAAGCAGGAGGGACCAUCCUCCAAGCCUAAAUACUACCUAGUGACCGAUAGCGUAUAGUACCGUGAGGGAAAGGUGAAAAGAACCCCGGGAGGGGAGUGAAAGAGAACCUGAAACCCUGCACUUACAAGCUGUGGGAGCACAUUACUUGUGUGACCGCGUACUUUUUGUAGAACGGGCCAACGAGUUACGUUACCUAGCAAGGUUAAGCACUUAAGGUGUGGAGCCGUAGCGAAAGCGAGUCUUAACUGGGCGAUUAGUUAGUUGACGUAGACCCGAAACCGGGCGACCUAUCCAUGGGCAGGUUGAAGCGAAAGUAAAAUUUCGUGGAGGACCGAACCCACGAGCGUUGAAAAGCUCGGGGAUGACCUGUGGAUAGCGGUGAAAUUCCAAUCGAGCCCGGAGAUAGCUGGUUCUCUCCGAAAUAGCUUUAGGGCUAGCCUCAAGAUUGAGAGUAACGGGGGUAGAGCACUGAAUGUCCUAGGGGGUAUUGCACUUACCGAAGACUAUCAAACUCCGAAUACCGUAUACUUAUGCUUGGGAGUCAGACUAUGGGUGAUAAGAUUCAUAGUCAAAAGGGCAACAGCCCAGAUCGUCAGCUAAGGUCCCUAAAUGUACGUUAAGUGGUAAAGGAUGUGGGAUUGCACAGACAACCAGGAUGUUGGCUUAGAAGCAGCCACUCAUUUAAAGAGUGCGUAAUAGCUCACUGGUCGAGUGAUCCUGCGCCGAAAAUUUCCGGGGCUAAAACGUACUACCGAAGCUACGGCAUCAUUUAUGAUGGGUAGGAGAGCUUCCCAUACGGGUUGAAGCAUGACCGAAAGGACAUGUGGACUGUAUGGGAGUGAGAAUGUUGGCAUGAGUAGCGAGAUGUGGGUGAGAAUCCCACAGGCCGUAAACCCAAGGUUUCCAGGGGAAGGUUCGUCCGCCCUGGGUUAGUCAGGACCUAAGCCGAGGCCGAAAGGCGUAGGUGAUGGACAACAGGUUGAUAUUCCUGUACCACCAAUAACCGUUUGAGAAAUGGGAUGACACAGAAGGAUAAGCUAACCGCACUGUUGGUUAUGUGCGGGCAAGUAUUGAGGCAGUUCUGGUAGGCAAAUCCGCCAGAAUAAUGCUAGGGUACGAUGCGGAGCGAAAUUUAGUAGCGAAGUAGCUGAUUUCACACUGUCGAGAAAAGUCUCUAUCGAGGUUAAAGGUGCCUGUACCGCAAACCGACACAGGUGGGUGAGGAGAGUAUCCUAAGGCCAGCCAGAGAACUGUUGUUAAGGAACUCGGCAAAAUGACCCCGUAACUUAGGGAGAAGGGGUGCCUUCGAAAGAAGGCCGCAGAGAAUAGGCCCAAGCGACUGUUUACCAAAAACAUAGGUUUCUGCUAAGUCGCAAGACGAUGUAUAGGAGCUGACGCCUGCCCGGUGCUGGAAGGUUAAGGGGAUCUGUUAGAGCAAUCGAAGCAGUGAACUUAAGCCCCAGUAAACGGCGGCCGUAACUAUAACGGUCCUAAGGUAGCGAAAUUCCUUGUCGGGU
RNAcentral lists this ribosomal RNA (1955 nucleotides) under human gut metagenome. RNAcentral's name for it is "bacterial LSU rRNA". It matches the Rfam family "Bacterial large subunit ribosomal RNA", at positions 3 to 1977 of the family's 2925-position model. The record is from RNAcentral.